GAUGCACAAGAUGUGUUGGAUGGA
This 24-nucleotide non-coding RNA is filed under the name Arabidopsis thaliana (thale cress). The record is from RNAcentral. Lineage: Eukaryota; Viridiplantae; Streptophyta; Magnoliopsida; Brassicales; Brassicaceae.